AGAGUUGGCAGCCGCGCCGCCGGUCCCCUUGACGGCGACCUCACCGGAGACGUUCGAAUUAACGCCACAAAGCGCAAAAACUUAAUCAAGAACUGCUACGCGAUGACUAGAGGACGGUGAGUUGAGUGGAGGAUCAUACCGGGCUUUCGGGGCAAUGGACAGAUUGGUUCACGGCGAUAGAAGGCUUCUCGGCGGCGGAGAGCGUGGUUGAGGAACCCCACGGCCUCCCAGCUUUAGAUCCCGAGUGCCCAAACCCGCACGGACACGGUACGGCACGGUGAUUCCCCACGCAGUCUGCUGGCGCCCGGUGUCUGCAUGGACGGCGGAUGGUCGACGGCGGCCUGUUGUCCCGUAUGGUGAUGUCCGCCGGCGGCACAAAUUCGCGCGAUGUGGACAAGGGUGUAUGCGGUUAAGGGGGGGUGGAAUAACCAGGCGCAGGUCUUAUAACCGCGGCGCAGCUG
Molecule: long non-coding RNA, 461 nt
Filed under: Zea mays
Lineage: Eukaryota; Viridiplantae; Streptophyta; Magnoliopsida; Poales; Poaceae
Description: long non-coding RNA (ZMAY_LNC000223)
Source: RNAcentral